CUUAUGCUGCCAAGAAAAGCCUCUAGCGAGUGUUAAAGCCGCCCGUACCCCAAACCGACACAGGUGGUCAGGUAGAGAAUACUAAGGCGAUCGAGAUAACUAUGGUUAAGGAACUCGGCAAAAUGCCCCCGUAACUUCGGGAGAAGGGGGGCCCGUUCUGGUGAGGAGAUUUACUCUCCGAGCUGGGAUUGGCCGCAGAGACCAGGCCCAAGCGACUGUUUACUAAAAACACAGGUCCAUGCUAAGUCGCAAGACGCUGUAUAUGGACUGACGCCUGCCCGGUGCUGGAACGUUAAGGGGACGGGUUAGCGACUUCGGUCGCGAAGCUCAGAACUUAAGCGCCAGUAAACGGCGGUGGUAACUAUAACCAUCCUAAGGUAGCGAAAUUCCUUGUCGGGUAAGUUCCGACCUGCACGAAUGGCGUAACGACUUGGGCGCUGUCUCAACCGUAGACUCGGCGAAAUUGCACUACGAGUAAAGAUGCUCGUUACGCGCGGCAGGACGGAAAGACCCCGGGACCUUUACUACAGCUUGGUAUUGGUGGUCGAUUCGAUUUGUGUAGGAUAGGUGGGAGACUGUGAACUUCGGACGCCAGUUCGAAGGGAGUCAUCGUUGAAAUACCACUCUGAUCGUAUUGGCUGUCUAACCUAGAUCCGUAAUCCGGAUCAGGGACAGUGCCUGGUGGGUAGUUUAACUGGGGCGGUUGCCUCCUAAAAUGUAACGGAGGCGCUCAAAGGUUCCCUCAGCCUGGUUGGCAAUCAGGUAUCGAGUGUAAGUGCACAAGGGAGCUUGACUGUGAGACUGACGGGUCGAGCAGGGACGAAAGUCGGAACUAGUGAUCCGGCGCUGGCAAGUGGAAGCGGCGUCGCUCAACGGAUAAAAGGUACCCCGGGGAUAACAGGCUGAUCUUGCCCAAGAGUCCAUAUCGACGGCAUGGUUUGGCACCUCGAUGUCGGCUCGUCGCAUCCUGGGGCUGGAGUAGGUCCCAAGGGUUGGGCUGUUCGCCCAUUAAAGCGGCACGCGAGCUGGGUUUAGAACGUCGUGAGACAGUUCGGUCACUAUCCGCCGCGCGCGUAAGAGUCUUGAGAAGAUCUGUCCCUAGUACGAGAGGACCGGGAUGGACGAACCUCUGGUGUGUCAGUUGUCCUGCCAAGGGCACUGCUGAUUAGCUACGUUCGGAAGAGAUAACCGCUGAAAGCAUCUAAGCGGGAAACUCGCUUCAAGAUGAGGGCUCUCACAGGGUUAACCUGGUAAGGCCCCCAGUAGACCACUGGGUUGAUAGGCCGGAAGUGGAAGUGCGGUAACGCAUGCAGCUGACCGGUACUAAUAGGCCGAGGACUUGAGC
RNAcentral lists this ribosomal RNA (1345 nucleotides) under metagenome. RNAcentral's name for it is "bacterial LSU rRNA". It matches the Rfam family "Bacterial large subunit ribosomal RNA", at positions 1599 to 2925 of the family's 2925-position model. The record is from RNAcentral.